GGACCAAGGAGUCUAGCAUGUGCGCGAGUUACUGGGACUCGAUAAACCUAAGGGCACAAUGAAAGUAAAGGCACGCCUUGUGCGUUUGCUUAGGGAGGAUGGGUCGUUUUUAUACUUCCCCGCACUCCCGGGGCGUCUCGCGCUCAUUGCGAGUUGAGGCGCACCCUGAGCGCACAUGCUGGGACCC
Molecule: ribosomal RNA, 187 nt
Filed under: Anotylus sp. 5 BT-2011
Lineage: Eukaryota; Metazoa; Arthropoda; Insecta; Coleoptera; Staphylinidae
Description: partial 28S ribosomal RNA
Rfam family: Eukaryotic large subunit ribosomal RNA
Source: RNAcentral